Trematomus bernacchii (emerald rockcod) is the source of this 692-nucleotide long non-coding RNA. RefSeq lists it as uncharacterized. NCBI's taxonomy places the organism in Eukaryota, Metazoa, Chordata, Actinopteri, Perciformes, Nototheniidae. The transcript has 3 exons. The record is from RefSeq and is a predicted model, not a curated record.
CAGGAUCGGAAGAGAGAUGAUCAGAGCCACGAUCCAGAAGACCUGUGACAGGAAGUGAAGACACACAGAAAGUUUAUUCAUCACGGGGCGAGUUUGAGACGUGAAGAGGAGCGUGGAGGCAUUUUGGAAAAUAAAGAAGAAGGCUGCAGCUGAUGAGAGACUUCCUGUUAGCUCUACUCAAUAUUAAAUGAACAAAAACAAUCAAUUGUACUUAAAGCUUUUCUUAAGAAGAAAGAUGUGUUGCACAUACACCUGCUGCUACCUACCACCACCUCCCACCCAUCCCGGCCCCAAAGAGGAGACUCCAUCGACCCCAGAUACCCCAACUCACUCUUCUUCAGGUUAGCUUGGAGCCCCGCCUUUACCUGCCCCAACAUCUCACUUUGAACGAUGUAGUCAUCCGGAUAUCUGCAUACUGAGAGUGGGACGCAGGACCCGGUCAAUGAGCUGCUGGAAGGGGGUCCACUGGACUGGAGGGGCUCUUGGAUCUGGUGAUGCCUUGCUCUUCCUGAAAGGGGAGGACACCUAUCUGCCAUAGUUUCUCCACCUGACGACUGAGUUCGGCAUCGGGGGUUCCAGUUGGGGUGAAGAGACUCUGGGGGGCAUCCGAUGGCUCCUGAAUAGGGGAGGCCCUUGGAGUGUCCAACCUAAUGAUAAGAAUAAGAAUAAUAAUAAUGAUGCAUGUUAUUUGU